GGAGUAGUGGCGGAAUGGUAGACGCUUCGCGGGUAAGUUUCACAUAAUAUUAGCCGGAACAUUGAAACAUUAGUCUGGAUAAGACUAUAUCGAUGAUUGAAACAUGCAGGUUCGAAUCCUGCCUACUCCA
This 130-nucleotide transfer RNA is filed under the name Caudoviricetes sp. Its description in RNAcentral is "tRNA-OTHER". It matches the Rfam family "tRNA". From Rfam's summary of the family: Transfer RNA (tRNA) molecules are approximately 80 nucleotides in length. Their secondary structure includes four short double-helical elements and three loops (D, anti-codon, and T loops). Further hydrogen bonds mediate the characteristic L-shaped molecular structure. tRNAs have two regions of fundamental functional importance: the anti-codon, which is responsible for specific mRNA codon recognition, and the 3' end, to which the tRNAs corresponding amino acid is attached (by aminoacyl-tRNA synthetases). tRNAs cope with the degeneracy of the genetic code in two manners: having more than one tRNA (with a specific anti-codon) for a particular amino acid; and 'wobble' base-pairing, i.e. permitting non-standard base-pairing at the 3rd anti-codon position. Lineage: Duplodnaviria; Heunggongvirae; Uroviricota; Caudoviricetes. The record is from RNAcentral.